AUGAUAAAUGGAAUCAAUAAGCAAUAUGCAAUGGAAAAGAAAAUGAAGAGCGAGACAAAUCUCAAUUCUCUGAAUGCCUUCAGUCACGACCCAUUUCCGUCCUCACUGUCCAGAAGUACCAUUAACAUUCAAGUCACUUCUUGCGAUGGUGAACCGCAUGCUGCCAAGACAUUUUUCACAAUGACUCCUCAAGAAAUCGCUCAAUGGAUUGAUCGAAGAAGUCCGCCUAUUUUUUCCUCUCGCAUUUCUAGUUUUUAAUUGCUUAUACUGGACAUUUGUUUGGAUGUAAAUUCAGAUCAAUAAAAGCAACACCACACCAAAGUCAUUUCCAUAUUAUUAACCCUCCUUCUUACGUCUGAUGAAUGUCAAAGUAACUAAGAGUCCAUGCCAAAUGAGUUUAUCAUCUUCUAGAGAGAGACAGGAGGACCAUUCCCUUGAUUCCUGGAUUUAUCUUCAGUCCUGAAAUGAUGUUAAUUGGCGUGUUUUCUAUCACACCCUGAAAAUCUGUCAAAUUGUUUUAUGUGAACUCUAAUUUCCUGAAAUAAAUUGCGACUACAAACGUUAACAUGAGCUCUUUCAAACGGCUUUGUAUACGUAUAGCUUGUAAGCUUGAGAAAAAGUUGCAAUAUCAAAAUCCUUUUACUCAUUAGAGUAGUCCGCAAGAAAGUCAAUGACUGCUUGCAAGCUAAAAUUAUGUAUCAGAAACGUGCAAUGAGUAGUUUGUAUUAUUGUUUGUUCCAUGAAUGAAUAUUAUUUUCAAAUUUUGUAUUUUCAUCUAUCUGAUAAUUGAUAUGACACAGUAGCAAACUUUGAGAUCCAUUUUUCAAGAGGUGUUUUGCAAAACUAACUGUGGGGGGUAGGGAGAAGGAUAUUCGAUUAUUACUUAUUAAGUAUGCAAUACAAUGGGAUGUGCAGCAUUAAUGAGCAGGGGUGUCCUUUCAGUUGUUUUGUAAGCUGUGGUGGAGGAUCCAAUAAUAAGAGUUGCAAGUAACAAUUGGAGGACCUUGAUGACUAUCAAGGGUUUGUAGAGCCAUGGUUCGAAUGCAUUAUGUUCCCAUGUACCUAAAUACAUUUUGUAGGCCAUGAACCUUAAGGACAAUUGAAUGUAGGAAACAAGGUGGAAAGAGAAAUUUAAGGAGGAAAAACUGUUUUUGAUUUGAACUUUCAUGGAGCAUCCUGCCAGGACGCCCAGACAUUGUGAUGGAAAAAUUAAGAAGGUAAGUAUAUGUAUCCAAAGAAAAAUGGUAAGAUAUGAGGAUGUUGUGUUGAUAGAACAAAAUUUUUCUCCAUCUAGAGCCAUUAUAUGGAUUGCAUUUUGCAAAAAGGGACCACUAGCAUUGCAAUGUUGCUAAGAUUGUGCAACUUCUUUUGUCUUGGAGGAAAUACCCGAUUAUCCAUUAAUAGUUUCCAUUUUACUCGCUAAAAACUGAAAUUUAAG
RNAcentral lists this long non-coding RNA (1438 nucleotides) under Bemisia tabaci. Its description in RNAcentral is "lncRNA ENSSWEETPG002707". Lineage: Eukaryota; Metazoa; Arthropoda; Insecta; Hemiptera; Aleyrodidae. The record is from RNAcentral.